AGAGUUUGAUCAUGGCUCAGAACGAACGCUGGCGGCGUGGAUAAGACAUGCAAGUCGAGCGCUGAUUACAGGGUAGCAAUAUUCUGUGGUCGGAGCGGCGCAAGGGUGCGUAACACGUGGGUAAUCUGCCAUGAAGUUUGGGAUAACUUGCUGAAAGGCGAGCUAAUACCGGAUGUGACGAUCGGAGGGCAUCUUCUGAUCUUCAAAGCUGGGGACCGUAAGGCCUGGCGCUUCAUGAUGAGCCCGCGGCCUAUCAGCUAGUUGGUGAGGUAACGGCUCACCAAGGCUAAGACGGGUAGCUGGUCUGAGAGGACGACCAGCCACACUGGAACUGAGACACGGUCCAGACACCUACGGGUGGCAGCAGUCGAGAAUUUUUCACAAUGGGCGCAAGCCUGAUGGAGCGACGCCGCGUGGGGGAUGAAUGGCUUCGGCCCGUAAACCCCUGUCAUUUGCGAACAAAUUGGUUCAAUUAACACCUGAACCAUUGAUAGUAGCGAAAGAGGAAGGGACGGCUAACUCUGUGCCAGCAGCCGCGGUAAUACAGAGGUCCCGAGCGUUGUUCGGAUUCACUGGGCGUAAAGGGUGCGUAGGUGGUGAGGUAAGUCGGAUGUGAAAGCUCGGAGCUCAACUCCGAAAUGGCAUUGGAAACUACCUUGCUCGAGGGUUGGAAGGGGGACUGGAAUGCUUGGUGUAGCAGUGAAAUGCGUAGAUAUUAAGCGGAACACCAGUGGCGAAGGCGAGUCCCUGGACAACUCCUGACACUGAGGCACGAAAGCUAGGGGAGCAAACAGGAUUAGAUACCCUGGUAGUCCUAGCCGUAAACGGUGCACGUUUGCUGUAAAAGGAAUCGACCCCUUUUGUGGCGUAGCCAACGCGUUAAACGUGCCGCCUGGGAAGUACGGUCGCAAGAUUAAAACUCAAAGAAAUUGACGGGGCCUGCACAAGCGGUGGAGUUUGUGGCUCAAUUCGAUGCAACGCGAGAA
Molecule: ribosomal RNA, 986 nt
Filed under: uncultured bacterium
Lineage: Bacteria
Description: bacterial SSU rRNA
Rfam family: Bacterial small subunit ribosomal RNA
Source: RNAcentral